UACAGAGGUCUCAAGCGUUGUUCGGAUUCAUUGGGCGUAAAGGGAGCGUAGGUGGCGCCGUAAGUCAGGUGUGAAAUCUCGGGGCUCAACCCCGAAACUGCACUUGAUACUGCGGUGCUCGAGUACUGGAGAGGAGAUUGGAAUUUACGGUGUAGCAGUGAAAUGCGUAGAUAUCAGGAGGAACACCUGCGGUGUAGACGGCUUACUGGACCAUAACUGACGCUGAGGCACGAAAGCGUGGGUAGCAAACAGG
This 253-nucleotide ribosomal RNA is filed under the name uncultured bacterium. Its description in RNAcentral is "partial 16S ribosomal RNA". It matches the Rfam family "Bacterial small subunit ribosomal RNA", at positions 524 to 776 of the family's 1533-position model. The record is from RNAcentral.